Molecule: unclassified non-coding RNA, 400 nt
Filed under: uncultured fungus
Lineage: Eukaryota; Fungi
Description: partial contains small subunit ribosomal RNA, internal transcribed spacer 1, and 5.8S ribosomal RNA
Rfam family: Eukaryotic small subunit ribosomal RNA (bases 1-73)
Source: RNAcentral
GCAAACUUGGUCAUUUAGAGGAAGUAAAAGUCGUAACAAGGUUUCCGUAGGUGAACCUGCGGAAGGAUCAUUAAAAAAACCUUUUGCCCCUUCGCGACCUCCGCGGUCCGAGGGCAAAAAAAACCCACACUUUGUGCACCGUUACCGUUUUCUUUGGCAGGGGCUUGGGGUGCGUUUUUCGCGUACCUCAACUUCUCCUCUGGCUCUAUCCCAAUGAUGUUUAUAAUCUCUUCGCGGGGUUUCUCAUUUUGGGACAGCCGGACAUGGGAAGCCGUACCCUGCCAAGUGACCCUAAAAUCACACUUUUUUUGUUGUCUGAAACUUUUCGCGUUUUUUAAUAAAACCAAACAUAACUUUCAACAACGGAUCUCUUGGCUCUCGCAUCGAUGAAGAACGCAGC